Lycium barbarum (goji berry) is the source of this 1238-nucleotide long non-coding RNA. RefSeq lists it as uncharacterized. The transcript is spliced from 5 exons. Lineage: Eukaryota; Viridiplantae; Streptophyta; Magnoliopsida; Solanales; Solanaceae. The record is from RefSeq and is a predicted model, not a curated record.
UAGGCCCAAUUAAAAGCUUAAUGGACAAGAUUUAAAAGAUGACUAAUUUAUCUUUAUCCUCAUAAUAUUUCCUAGAAACUUCAAGAAGUCUCAAGAAGAGAAGAAGGAGAUAAAUCUCCAAGGCCAUUCGGCCAAAGCAAAAUUCAACACAACCUUGGAAAAAAUUUUCUUCAAAAAUCAUUUUCUACCAAUUGAAGGGUUCCUAGCAAGGUGGAGUGGUUCUUGGAACAAGAGAAAUUCAUAUUCUUGCAAGUUACAAGUCUUAACUAAGUGGGAAGUUAAGGAAGAAGAUUUUGACGGAUUUGCAACUUGAAGUUGGAGUAACAUAAGGAGCGGAAAAAGGUCAGCAGGUAGGCGGAUUUGAUUCCUAGGAGCUCUAUCAGCAGUACUUGGCAUCGCUCCAGUUGUUCCGGAGCCUCAGUUCCUUGAACAUAUUCACAAAGAUUAUCAAGGAAAAAUUGGGUGAGACAUCAACAUCUAAGAAUGAAGAUAGUUUUGAAGUAGAUGAUGGAGCCACAGAAAGAAACAUAACAACAAAUGAAAAUGAGGAAGGAUAAAAUCAAAUGACCAAGCGUCUCAAGUACAGUGUUCUCAUAAAGUUGAAUUUUUAUUUUAAGCUCUAAUAAGGGAGUUAAAUCUUUGUUCAGUCUGUUGAUGAUUGCGUUGUGCGUUUACCCGCAGACCCCAAAGAGGAUGCUUUCCUAUCUAAGAUUACACCUGUAUCUUAGCCUGAAGAUUGAUCCAGCGAACCUCCUACAGUUGACUUUUCAAAAAUUUAUUUGGAUGAAGUGGGUGGGAUUAAGAAGAUGCACCUUUAUGGUGUUGGUCUUCAAGCACCUUUCUAUGGGCAUGUUGGUGAAUCCUCCGCGUUCGACAUCUCGACUUUGAUACUAGAGUGCAAGAAUUUGUUGGACAUCGUCUUCAAGAAAUGAAGCAUGAGAUGAGAGGAGAUCAAACAAGAAAUAAGGGAAGAAAUGCGACAAGUAUUGUGUGAAGAAUGAGACCUGAAGUGCAACAAGAGGUGCAAGAGCAAGUUAAUCAGAUACUUCAAGUACAUUGUUCGGGCAUUAUAGCUCGCUUACCUUCACCUCCUUCUGGUAGACCUGACACGUCCUCGAAUCAUGAAACAAGUCAUAUUUAGGUCAAUUUUAGAUUGUUUUAUGUUAGACACACUUUAGAUUGUUUCUUCAAUUCUAUGAUAGAUGUUAUUAUUUAUGAAAUAGGCAAUGUUUUUUGGA